RNAcentral lists this small RNA (87 nucleotides) under Escherichia coli. RNAcentral's name for it is "partial RtT sRNA". It matches the Rfam family "RtT RNA", at positions 1 to 83 of the family's 130-position model. From Rfam's summary of the family: This family represents a bacterial cis-regulatory element known as RtT RNA. The exact function of RtT is unknown although it is thought that it may be involved in changing the cellular response in relation to amino acid starvation. The record is from RNAcentral. Lineage: Bacteria; Pseudomonadati; Pseudomonadota; Gammaproteobacteria; Enterobacterales; Enterobacteriaceae.
UGCAUCUGCAGCCCAUGAGGAUGAGAACCUCCGGGGGCAGGGAGGUUCGACUCGAGCGAAGCGAGAGAACGUUGCGCCAGCAACGGC